UACGAAGGGGGCUAGCGUUGCUCGGAAUUACUGGGCGUAAAGGGCGCGUAGGCGGACAGUUUAGUCAGAGGUGAAAGCCCAGGGCUCAACCUUGGAACUGCCUUUGAUACUGACUGUCUUGAGUUCGGGAGAGGUGAGUGGAAUGCCGAGUGUAGAGGUGAAAUUCGUAGAUAUUCGGCGGAACACCAGUGGCGAAGGCGGCUCACUGGCCCGAUACUGACGCUGAGGCGCGAAAGCGUGGGGAGCAAACAGG
Molecule: ribosomal RNA, 253 nt
Filed under: uncultured bacterium
Lineage: Bacteria
Description: partial 16S ribosomal RNA
Rfam family: Bacterial small subunit ribosomal RNA
Source: RNAcentral